Molecule: non-coding RNA, 48 nt
Filed under: Echinostoma caproni
Lineage: Eukaryota; Metazoa; Platyhelminthes; Trematoda; Plagiorchiida; Echinostomatidae
Source: RNAcentral
GCACUGCUGACGAGUCCCAAACAGGACCAAACAGUUGAUGUCCAGUGC